This 86-nucleotide transfer RNA is filed under the name marine sediment metagenome. RNAcentral's name for it is "tRNA-Leu". It matches the Rfam family "tRNA". From Rfam's summary of the family: Transfer RNA (tRNA) molecules are approximately 80 nucleotides in length. Their secondary structure includes four short double-helical elements and three loops (D, anti-codon, and T loops). The record is from RNAcentral.
GUCAGCGUGGUGGAAUGGUAUACACGGCGGACUUAAAAUCCGCUGGCAGAAAUGUCAUGUGGGUUCGAGUCCCACCGCUGACACCA